UCCGUUAUGGUGUAGUGGCUAACAUUAUCCCCUUUCAUGCGGGCAAGCGAUAAGGUGCGCGGUAGCCCCUGCAGGGUUCGAUUCCCUGUAACGGAA
This is a non-coding RNA of Paramarasmius palmivorus, 96 nucleotides long. The record is from the annotation of a GenBank genome assembly. NCBI's taxonomy places the organism in Eukaryota, Fungi, Basidiomycota, Agaricomycetes, Agaricales, Marasmiaceae.